Molecule: non-coding RNA, 30 nt
Filed under: Mus musculus (house mouse)
Lineage: Eukaryota; Metazoa; Chordata; Mammalia; Rodentia; Muridae
Also listed under: 1 other name
Source: RNAcentral
UGAAAAUGUCAUAAUGGGACCCAUUAUUUU